Rhineura floridana is the source of this 1098-nucleotide long non-coding RNA. RefSeq lists it as uncharacterized. The transcript has 2 exons. Lineage: Eukaryota; Metazoa; Chordata; Lepidosauria; Squamata; Rhineuridae. The record is from RefSeq and is a predicted model, not a curated record.
GGGGUCUCCAACGUCACACCAUUAAGCUGGAUUGAUGAUGCUACAGAGGGACUAGUUUGCACCUGUUGAUGAAGCACUUUGGUUUUUUUAAUAUUAAGUGAGAGCCCAAGCUUUUCAUAUGCUUCUGCAAAGACAUUUAGGAUAGUUUGAAGAUCUUUCUCUGAAUGUGCACAGACUACAUUAUCAUCGGCAUAUUGAAGUUCUACGACAGAGGUUGACAUAACCUUACUUUUUGCUUCCAGCCUACUGAGAUUAAAAAGCUUUCCAUCUGUUCGAUAUAUGAUUUCCACACCAGUAGGAAGUUUCCCCUCAAUAAGAGAAGCUGCCAGACCCCCGUCAAGCACCUGAGACUCCGCUUCCACCUAUACUAAUUGAUGGGCAGGAGGAGUUUGAAGUGGAGCAGAUCCUGGAUUCCCGCCAGCACCAGGAAAGUUGCAGUACUUGAUCCAUUGGAUGAGAUUCGGUCCAGAGGAAAGAUUGUGGGAGGCAGUGACCGACGUGCACGCGGCGGAUUUGGUGAGAGUUUCAUGAAGCUUACCCGGACAAGCCCAAACCCCCAGGGUGGGGAAAAUUUGACAUGGGAGGAAAGAUGAUGAGGGCGAUACCAACUUUGUGGACUGGGACGACGAGCUGAGGGAGGGACUGAGCAACGUGGAGAGUUCACAGUGCGCCCAGUCCCCUGGUAUCCCUGUUGGAGAGCAACCUGAAUUGUCAGAGACUGCCCUGUCAGAGACUGCUCCAUUAGACACGCCCCCACACCUGAGGCACCGCAGCUUCCCACGGUUGAGCAGGCAGUUAGCUCCCACCAGUCAGAGGGGGAGGCUGAGAUCCAGUCCCCAUCGCCUCAAGCUCAUAGGCUUCAGAGGAGUGAAAUUCAACAGACGGAAUUAAGGAGGAGCCGUAGUUUACGCUCGAAAGCCAAGCCUACUUAAGUGGACUCGGGAGGGGUUUGUUGCUGAGUCAACAUCUGAGUGCUGUGAAUAUAUGCUUAGUCAGUGUUAGCCACGGCAAAAGUUCCUAGAAAGAGUAGUUAGGUUGAUGAGUCAUAAAGCUUUUGAUAUAUCUGUUACUUUAAUAAAAAGAGAAAAACUCACAGAA